Molecule: long non-coding RNA, 2536 nt
Filed under: Paramuricea clavata
Lineage: Eukaryota; Metazoa; Cnidaria; Anthozoa; Malacalcyonacea; Plexauridae
Source: RNAcentral
GCAUCAUUUAGCAUCUUUCAGUAUCAUUCAACAUCAUUCAGUAUCAUUCAGUAACAUUCAGCAUCAUUCAGUAUCAUUCAACAUCAUUCAACAUCAUUCACUAUCAUUCAACAUCAUUCAACAUCAUUCAGCAUCAUUUAGCAUCAUUCAGCAUCAUUUAGCAUCAUUCAGCAUCAUUUAGCAUCAUUCAACAUCAUUCAGCAUCAUUCAACAUCAUUCACCAUCAUUUAGCAUCAUUCAGCAGCAUUUAGCAUCAUUUAGCAUCAUUCAGCAUCAUUUAGCAUCAUUCAGUAUCAUUCAACACCAUUCAGCAUCAUUCAGCAUCAUUCAGCAUCAUUCAGCAUCAUUUAGCAUCAUUCAACAUCAUUCAGCAUCAUUCAGUAUCAUUCAGCAUCAUUUAGCAUCAUUCAGCAUCACUUAGCAUCAUUCAGCAUCAUUUAGCAUCAUUCAACAUCAUUCAGCAUCAUUCAGUAUCAUCCAGCAUCAUUCAGCAUCAUUCAACAUCAUUCAGCAUCAUUCAGUAUCAUUCAGCAUCAUUUAGCAUCAUUCAGCAUCAUUUAGCAUCAUUCAGCAUCAUUUAGCAUCAUUCAGUAUCAUUCAACAUCAUUCAGCAUCAUUUAGCAACAUUCAGUAUCAUUCAGCAUCAUUCCGUAUCAUUCAACAUCAUUCAACAUCAUUCAAUAUCAUUCAACAUCAUUCAACAUCAUUCAACAUCAUUUAGCAUCAUUCAGCAUCAUUCAGUAUCAUUCAGCAUCAUUUAGCAUCAUUCAGCAUCAUUUAGCAUCAUUCAGCAUCAUUUAGCAUCAUUCAGUAUCAUUCAACAUCAUUCAACAUCAUUCAGCACCAUUUAGCAUCAUUCAGUAUCAUUUAGCAUCAUUUAGCAUCAUUCAGCAUCAUUUAGCAUCAUUCAGUAUCAUUUAGCAUCAUUCAGUAUCAUUCAACAUCAUUCAACAUCAUUCAAUAUCAUUCAACAUCAUUCAACAUCAUUCAACAUCAUUUAGCAUCAUUCAGCAUCAUUCAGUAUCAUUCAGCAUCAUUUACCAUCAUUCAGUAUCAUUCAACAUCAUUCAACAUCAUUCAGCAUCAUUUAGCAUCAUUCAGCAUCAUUUAGCAUCAUUCAGUAUCAUUCAACAUCAUUCAGUAUCAUUCAGUAUCAUUCAGCAUCAUUCAGUAUCAUUCAACAUCAUUCAACAUCAUUCACUAUCAUUCAACAUCAUUCAACAUCAUUCAGCAUCAUUUAGCAUCAUUCAGCAUCAUUUAGCAUCAUUCAGCAUCAUUUAGCAUCAUUCAACAUCAUUCAGCAUCAUUCAACAUCAUUCACCAUCAUUUAGCAUCAUUCAGCAGCAUUUAGCAUCAUUUAGCAUCAUUGAGCAUCAUUUAGCAUCAUUCAGUAUCAUUCAACAUCAUUCAGCAUCAUUCAGCAUCAUUCAGCAUCAUUCAGCAUCAUUCAGCAUCAUUUAGCAUCAUUCAACAUCAUUCAGCAUCAUUCAGUAUCAUUCAGCAUCAUUUAGCAUCAUUGAGCAUCAUUUAGCAUCAUUCAGCAUCAUUUAGCAUCAUUCAGCAUCAUUUAGCAUCAUUCAGUAUCAUUCAGCAUCAUUUAGCAUCAUUCAGCAUCAUUCAACAUCAUUCAGCAUCAUUUACCAUCAUUCAGUAUCAUUCAGCAUCAUUUAGCAUCAUUUAGCAUCAUUCAACAUCAUUCAGCAUCAUUCAGUAUCAUUCAGCAUCAUUUAGCAUCAUUCAGCAUCAUUCAACAUCAUUCAGCAUCAUUUAGCAUCAUUCAGCAUCAUUUAGCAUCAUUCAGCAUCAGUUAGCAUCAUUUAGCAUAUUCAGCAUCAGUUAGCAUCAUUUAGCAUCAUUCAGCAUCAUUUAGCAUCAUUCAGCAUCAUUAUCCAUCAUUCAGUAUCAUUCAACAUCAUUCAACAUCAUUCAGCAUCAUUUAGCAUCAUUCAGCAUCAUUUAGCAUCAUUCAGUAUCAUUUAGCAUCAUUUAGCAUCAUUCAGCAUCAUUUAGCAUCAUUCAACAUCAUUCAACAUCAUUCACCAUCAUUUAGCAUCAUUCAGCAGCAUUUAGCAUCAUUUAGCAUCAUUCAGCAUCAUUUAGCAUCAUUCAGUAUUAUUCAACAUCAUUCAGUAUCAUUCAGUAUUAUUCAGCAUCAUUCAGUAUCAUUCAACAUCAUUCAACAUCAUUCGCUAUCAUUCAACAUCAUUCAACAUCAUUCAGCUUCAUUCAGCAUCAUUUAGCAUCAUUUAGCAUCAUUUAGCAUCAUUCAGUAUCAUUCAACAUCAUUCAGCAUCAUUUAGCAAGAUUCAGUAUCAUUCAGCAUCAUUCCGUAUCAUUCAACAUCAUUCAACAUCAUUCAAUAUCAUUCAACAUCAUUCAACAUCAUUCAACAUCAUUUAGCAUCAUUCAGCAUCAUUCAGCAUCAUUUAGCAUCAUUUAGCAUCAUUCAGCAUCAUUUAGCAUCAUUCAGUGUCAUUCAACAUCAUUCAGUAUCAUUCAGUAUCAUUCAGCAUCAUUCAGAAUCAUUCAACAUCAU